RNAcentral lists this ribosomal RNA (432 nucleotides) under Neisseria meningitidis. RNAcentral's name for it is "bacterial SSU rRNA". It matches the Rfam family "Bacterial small subunit ribosomal RNA", at positions 30 to 456 of the family's 1533-position model. Lineage: Bacteria; Pseudomonadati; Pseudomonadota; Betaproteobacteria; Neisseriales; Neisseriaceae. The record is from RNAcentral.
AUUGAACGCUGGCGGCAUGCUUUACACAUGCAAGUCGGACGGCAGCACAGAGAAGCUUGCUUCUUGGGUGGCGAGUGGCGAACGGGUGAGUAACAUAUCGGAACGUACCGAGUAGUGGGGGAUAACUGAUCGAAAGAUCAGCUAAUACCGCAUACGUCUUGAGAGGGAAAGCAGGGGACCUUCGGGUCUUGCGCUAUUCGAGCGGCCGAUAUCUGAUUAGCUAGUUGGUGGGGUAAAGGCCUACCAAGGCGACGAUCAGUAGCGGGUCUGAGAGGAUGAUCCGCCACACUGGGACUGAGACACGGCCCAGACUCCUACGGGAGGCAGCAGUGGGGAAUUUUGGACAAUGGGCGCAAGCCUGAUCCAGCCAUGCCGCGUGUCUGAAGAAGGCCUUCGGGUUGUAAAGGACUUUUGUCAGGGAAGAAAAGGCUG